GGAAUAUUGCACAAUGGGCGAAAGCCUGAUGCAGCGACGCCGCGUGAGGGAUGACGGCCUUCGGGUUGUAAACCUCUUUCAGUAGGGAAGAAGCGAAAGUGACGGUACCUGCAGAAGAAGCGCCGGCUAACUACGUGCCAGCAGCCGCGGUAAUACGUAGGGCGCAAGCGUUAUCCGGAAUUAUUGGGCGUAAAGAGCUCGUAGGCGGUUUGUCGCGUCUGCCGUGAAAGUCCGAGGCUCAACUUCGGAUCUGCGGUGGGUACGGGCAGACUAGAGUGAUGUAGGGGAGACUGGAAUUCCUGGUGUAGCGGUGAAAUGCGCAGAUAUCAGGAGGAACACCGAUGGCGAAGGCAGGUCUCUGGGCAUCUACUGACGCUGAGGAGCGAAAGCAUGGGGAGCGAACAGGAUUAGAUACCCGAG
Molecule: ribosomal RNA, 420 nt
Filed under: uncultured Paeniglutamicibacter sp.
Lineage: Bacteria; Bacillati; Actinomycetota; Actinomycetes; Micrococcales; Micrococcaceae
Description: bacterial SSU rRNA
Rfam family: Bacterial small subunit ribosomal RNA
Source: RNAcentral